RNAcentral lists this unclassified non-coding RNA (240 nucleotides) under soil metagenome. RNAcentral describes it as "partial contains 5.8S ribosomal RNA, internal transcribed spacer 2, and large subunit ribosomal RNA". The record is from RNAcentral.
AAGACUAUAGACCUGCGGAGUACCUGCGGAAGGAUCAUUACUGAGUGAGGGCCCUCUGGGUCCAACCUCCCACCCGUGUUUAUUGUACCUUGUUGCUUCGGUGGGCCCGCCGCAAGGCCGCCGGGGGCUUCCGCCCCGGGCCCGCGCCCACCGGAGACAAACUGAACUCUGUCUGAAUGUUGCAGUCUGAGUAAAAACUUAAUAAGUUAAAACUUUUAACAACGGAUCUCUAGAUCGGAA